UCCAGGGUAGCCUAGUGGAUAUGGCAUCUGCCCAGUAAGCAGAACACUGUGGGUUCGAUUCUCAUUCCUGGAC
This 73-nucleotide transfer RNA is filed under the name Cordylochernes scorpioides. RNAcentral describes it as "tRNA-Thr". It matches the Rfam family "tRNA". From Rfam's summary of the family: Transfer RNA (tRNA) molecules are approximately 80 nucleotides in length. Their secondary structure includes four short double-helical elements and three loops (D, anti-codon, and T loops). Lineage: Eukaryota; Metazoa; Arthropoda; Arachnida; Pseudoscorpiones; Chernetidae. The record is from RNAcentral.